AUUGAACGCUGGCGGCAUGCUUUACACAUGCAAGUCGAACGGCAGCGCGGGCUUCGGCCUGGCGGCGAGUGGCGAACGGGUGAGUAAUGCAUCGGAACGUGCCCGUAGUGGGGGGUAGCCCGGCGAAAGCCGGGUUAAUUCCGCAUACGACCCGGGGGUGAAAGCGGGGGACCGAAAGGCCUCGCCGCUUUGGAGCGGCCGAUGUCGGAUUAGCUAGUUGGUGGGGUAAAGGCUUACCAAGGCGACGAUCCGUAGCUGGUCUGAGAGGACGACCAGCCACACUGGGACUGAGACACGGCCCAGACUCCUACGGGAGGCAGCAGUGGGGAAUUUUGGACAAUGGGGGCAACCCUGAUCCAGCCAUGCCGCGUGCGGGAAGAAGGCCUUCGGGUUGUAAACCGCUUUUGUUCGGGAAGAAAUCCUCUGGGCUAAUACCCCGGGGGGAUGACGGUACCGGAAGAAUAAGCACCGGCUAACUACGU
RNAcentral lists this ribosomal RNA (482 nucleotides) under uncultured bacterium. RNAcentral's name for it is "partial 16S ribosomal RNA". It matches the Rfam family "Bacterial small subunit ribosomal RNA", at positions 28 to 506 of the family's 1533-position model. The record is from RNAcentral.